AGCAUAUAAGUAAGCGGGGGAAAAGGAACUAAAUAGGAUUCCCUCAGUAAUGGCGAAUGAACAGGGAUGAGCUCAGGCUGGAAACCGAUACAUCUGUGUCGGGCUGUAGCCUGCAGGCAUAGCGCUAUCGGCGGCUCGAGCGCAAGCCUCUUGGAAUAGAGCGUGUGCCCGGGUGAGAAUCCUGCAUUUCGCUCGAUGUCCGCUGUCCACAGUGCUUGUCCUGAGAGUCACGCUCCUCGGAAUUGGAGCGUAAAUCAGGUGGUAAGUUUCAUCCAAAGCUAAAUAGAAGCUCGAGACCAAUAGCAAACAAGUACCAUGAGGGAAAGAUGAAAAGGACUUUGGAAAGAGAGUUAAAAGUGUUUGAAAUUGCUGAGAGCGAAGCGAACGGAGCCACAUGUCGUGCUGAGAUUGCUGUGGGUCUUUGUGAGCCUUGAGCAUGUAAGCGCAAGCUGACUGCUUAUGUGUGAGCAUUUGCCCGCAGUGUUUCUCAGCAUGCGAGUCAUUAGCCACAUUUGUUUGAGGAUGGCCUUCAGCUCACAUGGUACACUUGUUAGUGUUCCUCUGUGCGGUGUGGGACUCAGACAGGUGUGGCUUGUUGACCCAG
RNAcentral lists this ribosomal RNA (604 nucleotides) under Breviolum meandrinium. Its description in RNAcentral is "LSU rRNA". It matches the Rfam family "Eukaryotic large subunit ribosomal RNA", at positions 37 to 603 of the family's 3401-position model. Lineage: Eukaryota; Dinophyceae; Suessiales; Symbiodiniaceae. The record is from RNAcentral.